This 1158-nucleotide ribosomal RNA is filed under the name Kocuria marina subsp. indica. RNAcentral's name for it is "bacterial LSU rRNA". It matches the Rfam family "Bacterial large subunit ribosomal RNA", at positions 896 to 1903 of the family's 2925-position model. The record is from RNAcentral. Lineage: Bacteria; Bacillati; Actinomycetota; Actinomycetes; Micrococcales; Micrococcaceae.
CCGGAGGUAGAGCUACUGGAUGGCUGAUGGGCCCUACAAGGUUACUGACGUCAACCAAACUCCGAAUGCCGGUGAAGUGUAAGCGUGGCAGUGAGACUGUGGGGGAUAAGCUUCAUAGUCGAAAGGGAAACAGCCCAGACCAUCAACUAAGGCCCCUAAGCGUGUGCUAAGUGGGAAAGGAUGUGGAGUUGCUUAGACAACCAGGAGGUUGGCUUAGAAGCAGCCACCCUUGAAAGAGUGCGUAAUAGCUCACUGGUCAAGUGAUUCCGCGCCGAUAAUGUAGCGGGGCUCAAGUACACCGCCGAAGUUGUGGCAUGACACCGUGUAGCCGAGCCGUUUGUGGUUGAGGUGGUGUUGUGGGUAGGGGAGCGUCGUUGGGGUAGUGAAGCUGCGGGGUGACCCAGUGGUGGAACCUCAACGAGUGAGAAUGCAGGCAUGAGUAGCGAUAGACGGGUGAGAAACCCGUCCGCCGGAUGAUCAAGGGUUCCAGGGUCAAGCUAAUCUGCCCUGGGUGAGUCGGGACCUAAGGCGAGGCCGACAGGCGUAGUCGAUGGACAACGGGUUGAUAUUCCCGUACCGACGAAGAACCGACCCUAUCGAACCGGGGAUACUAACCACCCGAACCAUCACGAUCCGUGGCCGUUUACGGUCACGGGAGUGUGUGGGGAGCGUGGGACCUGAUCCGGGGAGGUAAACGUGUUAACAGGUGUGACGCAGGAAGGUAGCCGAGCCAGGCGAUGGUUGUCCUGGUCUAAGCAUGUAGGGCGACCCGUUGGUAAAUCCGCGGGUCAUGGGCCUGAGAUGUGAUGGGACUCUCUUAGGUGAGGGAAUUCGGUGAUCCUAUGCUGCCAAGAAAAGCAUCGACGUGAGGUUCUAGUCGCCCGUACCCUAAACCGACACAGGUGAUCAGGUAGAGAAUACUAAGGCGUUCGAGAGAAUCAUGGUUAAGGAACUCGGCAAAAUGCCCCCGUAACUUCGGGAGAAGGGGGGCCCUGGUUGGUGAACACCCACGCGGUGUGAGCUGGUCGGGGUCGCAGAGGCUAGAGGGAAGCGACUGUUUAUCAAAAACACAGGUCCGUGCGAAGUCGUAAGACGAUGUAUACGGACUGACUCCUGCCCGGUGCUGGAAGGUUAAGAGGACUCGUUAAACCCUUCGGG